Bombus terrestris (buff-tailed bumblebee) is the source of this 3467-nucleotide long non-coding RNA. RefSeq lists it as uncharacterized. The transcript has 3 exons. The record is from RefSeq and is a predicted model, not a curated record. Lineage: Eukaryota; Metazoa; Arthropoda; Insecta; Hymenoptera; Apidae.
GAUUAAAAUAAUGGCCAACUGGUGACAUCGGAUAUAGUGAAUUUUUUUAUAAGAUCCAAAUGUAACAGAAGUGGAACUAGGGAGGUUUUUAGAGACUUCUGGAGUACAUGGAUGUUUUAUAAUAUAGAAUUUUAUGUUAAUUAAAUGGCGAAUUUGUGAACUAUAUACAGUAACGAUAAAUAGGUUUAAUUUAUUUGUUAAGUAUGUACCUGGUUGUAUGAAAUAGAUUUUUAAAAAACAAGAGGAAGUGGUUUUGGGAAGAUAUGGCGUUUCCUAGGGAUUUACUUAGGUAGUUUGUGGUCAGUUGGUUGAAAAAGUAUGGGAAGAUUCGUUUAGUGUGUUAAAAAGAGGUGUUUAAAAUGCAGAAUGCAAGUAGAAAAUAUUUCUCUGUGGAUUUAUUAUAAGUCUUUCGGUGUUAGGAAGAUGUAUUAUAAGCAACUGUAUUUUUACAUUCUCGGAACCUAUACAGUUUCUACAAACCAUGUCCAGUAAGAAUCUUAUUCUAAGAUUCCAAUAAUGCUAGCAUUGCAAAUGGUAGGAAAUGAAAUGUCUAGUGGACUCAGCUUACAUGCAGAAGCCUCAACAACAAUAACAGUAUAGCACAAGCAACCUGACCAACCAUCAACAAAAUAUAGACAAAAAGAAAAAAGAAGGAAGGAAUACUAAAGUAAUUAAAAUACUGAUUCGCAGUCUCAAUACACCAAGUCUCCUCUGUUCUCGACAUCAGUCUCCGGACGUAUGUUUAUUACGAGAAAGUAGACAGGAUUGAAAACUAAAUGAACUUUAAAAACUAAAAUAAUUAAAAAAGUCGAUGUCUACAAGUACAGACGCACAGCGUGCUGCUUUCAAUGCAAAAAAAAGGGUCUUAUUACGAGAAAGUAUUGGCAACUAAGUGAUUGCGGACUUUAUCAUUAGGUGGUAUCGACAAAAUCCGCAAUCACUUAGUUUCCAACCCAAUAGAACAAGAACAAAGACUCCAUGAUACACAUAGAAGUUUCGAGAAAUUUGAUCAAUGUUUCUAACAAAGACCAUAUAAAAUAGACAAAUCCAUAUAAAUUGGCACGAGAAACUAAAAUAAUUAAAAUAUUCAUAUUUCUGAGAACUGAUACACAGCUGCUUGUCUUCAAUACGAAAGGAAUGAACCCCCUGAACGUAUCUUUAUUGGAAGAAAGUAGACGAGAAUAGAGACAUUAUCCACAGCCGCCAUAAACUCUGUAAUAUCCUCAUCUUCUUACCAAGCCAGCCAGAGAUCUCCGACUUUAUCGCCAAUAUACAUAUAUUCAGCUUGGCAUUGGUAAAUUAAAGCCGUAGCAAUUUAAGAAGUUGGACGGCGCAGAAACGCCAGAGAUUCAGAAGAACGAUAAGCCGUUGCCGUGGUUGCAAAGGCGAAUGCUCUAAGGAAAAGUAAGUGAAUUACCCGAUACCAAUUGAGACGGUGGCGGCUGCUCGACGAGGAUAAAUCACGCCGGUUGCCUUAUCAGAAACCACUGAAUCCCCACAACUUCCACGGCCGCACAGUCUCGCGCUAUUUUCUCAAUCGGUUUAUGCGCCGAGAAUAGCGGCACCAGAGUAAAGCAUUCGCCGAACUAACUAACGCGCAGCUGAUUAUUUUCAAGUUUCUCUUGAAUUAUUCUACAGACAGCCGCCUCAGCGGGUCAUCAAGAAGCUAUUCCGAUUCGUUCGAUUACCGGUAGAUGGAGAAGUAAAUUUCGAUCCUUCGUCCCUGGUUAAAUGAAACCGUGUCAAGUAGCGAAAGGAAGCAGAACGCUGGUAAAUGAUUGAACGAGUCUACAAAAACACUCAGAUACAGUGAACUCGUGCUUUUAAUUGAUCUCUGAUCAGAUAAAUGAUUGGUUUACGAUAUCGGUUAACGGUUGUUAAUUGGAAAACGCAUAUACAAUACAUUGUAUUCAAAGGUAUAGAGUUCGUACGUACUAUAUAUAUUUCUUUAGUUAUUAUAGCACGAAGAGAAGUUGUGAAAACUUUGUCACACCACUCUAAGCAUGUAUACUUAUAUCUGUAAUGAUUCUUAUUUAUGUAUACGGGGUGUCUCAGCUAAAUCAGAUCACCUAAACAUCAGCCUUGAGUAUUGUUUUAUUGUUUAUUUCUUUAGCAAAUUCCACGAUCAUCGGUAUUUUGUUGCAAUAGAACUCUAUGUAUACUUGUACGCCACUAGAUGUGAUUAUUUAUUCUCUAUGUAAAAAUUUAAAAAGUAUUAUGGUAAUUAUGCGGGCAUAUGUGUAAUUCAAAAGAUAUUUCGAUUUUAAUAUGAUGAAAUGCAUGAAAGAUAAGGAAGAUACAAAUUUCAGUCGCCAAGUUUUACAAAAUUAAGGUUCAAAUAUCUUUUAAACUAUUGUAGUAUCGUGGACAAAUGGUCUAAGAAAUAUCGGGUGAACCAUAAAUAAUGUUGAGAGAAGGCCUAAGUGCGGUUAGGCCAAAAGGGCCUGGCAGUUUUACCGGGUAAAAAAAUCCGCGAUCACUUAGUUGCCAACCCAAUAUAUACAUUUUUAUCCGAUGCAUUAAAAAAUUCUAUUAGACAAGUCAGAGACUUAAAUUUUCCCAUUAAACUUCAAAUGCAGAAACCGGGGAACUGCAAGGAACGAUAGGAGUAAUUUUAUUGAGGAAUCUUGAGUAAAAAUUCCAGACUUUGAAAUGGCGUUAAGAUAAGGCAUCGCUGUGCCUCGAAACUCUGCACAUUAGCCGAACGAUCCAAUUUAAUGAAAACCGUGGACGGGCAGUUCGACAUCUGGUAGAUGCUAAUCUCACGAAAAACGGAAAUUGCCCGGUACCAUUUUCCUAACCGUCCCACUUUAUUCGAAUUAAACUCCGGCUGGUAUCCUCAGGCGCAUCUUCCGCGUCUUCGAAUAACCUCGUCGACAUUGAAAUACUCUAAGAGUACAAACUCUAUAUCUACUCCGUUUCUUUAAAAAAUGAAAUUUAAUUAACAGUAAAUGGUCUGUUAACAGUUAUUUGAUAAAAAAAAAAAAUAUCUAUAUAUUGAGGUUAGGAGUUGACAACGCAGGAUAAAUCACUUUCACGUACGUUUUACUGUUGAUUUUUCUAAACGCAAACGAAGGCCACAGACGAGGUGCGUGAUAAAUAACAUUUGUUAUUCAUUUAUAGAAAAGUAUUCGAAUAUUCAAUUUCCGAUUAACCAAUUCUAUAUCGCAACUAUCCUUGCGCUUCAUUUUAUUAGGUUGGCAGCUAAGUGAUUGCGGAGUUUGUCAUUAGAUGGCAUUGACAAAAUCCGCCAUCACUUAGUUGUCAGUAACCUAAUAGAACUGAAUAAAUAUCACUCUCUUAAACAUUUAUAAAAUAUACACGAUGCUAAUUAAUUUGAAGUAAUUAUUCGUUUCUCACAACGUCUUAUCCUUUCUCCCAACUAUUCUGUUGAAGUGAUCACCACUUCUACGAAAACUCUACAUCUGGUCUUUUUAAUUUUCUCAAGCGCUGAAGCCAUCGACAGC